Molecule: ribosomal RNA, 416 nt
Filed under: uncultured bacterium
Lineage: Bacteria
Description: bacterial SSU rRNA
Rfam family: Bacterial small subunit ribosomal RNA
Source: RNAcentral
UGGGGAAUUUUGCGCAAUGGGCGAAAGCCUGACGCAGCAACGCCGCGUGGAGGAUGAAGGUUUUCGGAUCGUAAACUCCUGUCGAUGGGGACGAAAGCCCGCAAGGGUGUGACUGUACCCGUUGAGGAAGCCACGGCUAACUCCGUGCCAGCAGCCGCGGUAAUACGGAGGUGGCAAGCGUUGUUCGGAAUUACUGGGCGUAAAGGGCGCGUAGGCGGUUGAGCAAGUCAGAUGUGAAAGCCCCGAGCUUAACUCGGGAACUGCAUCUGAAACUGCUUGACUUGAGUUCUGGAUGGGGUAGUGGAAUUCCCAGUGUAGCGGUGAAAUGCGUAGAUAUUGGGAGGAACACCUGCGGCGAAGGCGGCUACCUGGACAGUGACUGACGCUGAGGCGCGAAAGCUAGGGGAGCGAACGGG